This 539-nucleotide ribosomal RNA is filed under the name uncultured bacterium. RNAcentral's name for it is "bacterial SSU rRNA". It matches the Rfam family "Bacterial small subunit ribosomal RNA", at positions 777 to 1319 of the family's 1533-position model. The record is from RNAcentral.
AAUAGAUACCCUGGUAGUCCACGCUGUAAACGAUGAUUACUGGUUGUUAGCGAUAUAUAGCUAGUGACUGAGCGAAAGCAUUAAGUAAUCCACCUGGGGAGUACGUCGGCAACGAUGAAACUCAAAGGAAUUGACGGGGGCCCGCACAAGCGGAGGAACAUGUGGUUUAAUUCGAUGAUACGCGAGGAACCUUACCUGGGUUUAAAUGGGGAGUGACAGGUGUCGAAAGAUGCUUUUCCUUCGGGACACUCUUCAAGGUGCUGCAUGGUUGUCGUCAGCUCGUGCCGUGAGGUGUCGGGUUAAGCCCAUAACGAGCGCAACCCUUGCCGAUAGUUGCCAUCACGUAAAGGUGGGCACUCUAUCGGGACUGCCGGUGUAAACCGUGAGGAAGGUGGGGAUGACGUCAAAUCAGCACGGCCCUUACAUCCAGGGCUACACACGUGUUACAAUGGCCAGUACAGAGGGCCGCUACCCCGGCAGGGGGAUGCCAAUCUCGAAAAGCUGGUCUCAGUUCGGAUUGAAGUCUGGAACCCGACUUC